RNAcentral lists this ribosomal RNA (429 nucleotides) under Bacillota bacterium. RNAcentral's name for it is "Firmicutes bacterium partial 16S ribosomal RNA". It matches the Rfam family "Bacterial small subunit ribosomal RNA", at positions 355 to 776 of the family's 1533-position model. The record is from RNAcentral. Lineage: Bacteria; Bacillati; Bacillota.
UGGGGAAUCUUGCGCAAUGCGCGAAAGCGUGACGCAGCAACGCCGCGUGGGGGAAGAAGGCCUUCGGGUUGUAAACCCCUUUCAGUUGGGACGAAGCUUCGCCGGUGAAUAGCCGGCCGGAGUGACGGUACCUUCAGAAGAAGCCCCGGCUAACUACGUGCCAGCAGCCGCGGUAAUACGUAGGGGGCUAGCGUUUUCCGGAAUCAUUGGGCGUAAAGCGCGUGUAGGCGGCCCGGUAAGUCCGCUGUGAAAGUCGGGGGCUCAACCCUCGAAAGCCGGUGGAUACUGUCGGGCUCGAGUGCGGAAGAGGCGAGUGGAAUUCCUGGUGUAGCGGUGAAAUGCGCAGAUAUCAGGAGGAACACCGAUUGCGAAGGCAGCUCGAUGGGACGUUACUGACGCUGAGACGCGAAAGCGUGGGGAGCAAACAGG